This 520-nucleotide ribosomal RNA is filed under the name uncultured Glomus. RNAcentral describes it as "SSU rRNA". It matches the Rfam family "Eukaryotic small subunit ribosomal RNA", at positions 569 to 1085 of the family's 1831-position model. The record is from RNAcentral. Lineage: Eukaryota; Fungi; Glomeromycota; Glomeromycetes; Glomerales; Glomeraceae.
AGCAGCCGCGGUAAUUCCAGCUCCAAUAGCGUAUAUUAAAGUUGUUGCAGUUAAAAAGCUCGUAGUUGAAUUUCGGGGUCAGCAGGUUGGUCGUGCCACUGGUAUGCACUGGCCUCGCUGAUUCCUCCCUCUUGUAGAACCGUAAUGCCAUUAAGUUGGUGUUGCGGGGAAACAGGACUGUUACUUUGAAAAAAAUUAGAGUGUUUAAAGCAGGCUAACGCUUGAAUACAUUAGCAUGGAAUAAUGAAAUAGGACGUUUGAUCCUAUUUUGUUGGUUUCUAGGAUUGACGUAAUGAUUAAUAGGGAUAGUUGGGGGCAUUAGUAUUCAAUUGUCAGAGGUGAAAAUUCUUGGAUUUAUUGAAGACUAACUACUGCGAAAGCAUUUGCCAAGGAUGUUUUCAUUAAUCAAGAACGAAGUUAGGGGAUCGAAGACGAUCAGAUACCGUCGUAGUCUUAACCAUAAACCUAUCGCCGACUAGGGAUCGGAUGAUGUUUAAUUUUUAANGUUACUCAUUCGGCG